Transfer RNA from Stereum hirsutum FP-91666 SS1, 93 nucleotides. It matches the Rfam family "tRNA". Rfam says of the family: Transfer RNA (tRNA) molecules are approximately 80 nucleotides in length. Their secondary structure includes four short double-helical elements and three loops (D, anti-codon, and T loops). The record is from Rfam. Lineage: Eukaryota; Fungi; Basidiomycota; Agaricomycetes; Russulales; Stereaceae.
CCUCCGAUAGCUUAAGUGGUAGAGCGUUGGGUGCUUAUAGGAGUGCGAUUGACGCCUAGCCCAGAGAUGCUGGUUCGAGUCCAGCUCGGAGGA